CACUGUUGCUCUAUGGGGAAAAUCCUCUGUGCAUAACCCCGCCCUUCCACCCGGUGUUACUGUUGUUCCAGGGCAGCUGCAGGCUGAGUUGCCUGUAAGGGUAUGUCUAUGCUGGCAUUGAAGGACAAAACUUUUGUCUUUCAGAGGUGUUAAUCCCCCCCACCCUCCCCCGAAAGACAAAAGUUUUGCCACUACAAGUACCAGUGUGAACCACACAUUGUUGGCAGGAGUGCUCUCCUGCUCACAAUGCAAAUGCCGCUCGUUGGGAGUGGGAGUUUUUUGUUGGCAGGAGAGACAACAAACAGCGGCUACACUUCACGACUUUUAGCAGCAUGGCUGAAGCCUAAGGGUAUGUCUACACUACCUGCCGGAUCACCGGGUAGUGAUCGAUCUAUCGGGGGUCAAUUUUAGUCUAGAUGCGAUAAAUCGAUGGCGAGAGGUGCAAGCAGAGUCGACGGAGGAGCGGUGGCAGUCAACCCCAUGUCGUGAAGACGCUGAGGUAAGUUGACCUAAGAUACGUCGACUUCAGCUACGCUAUUCUUGUAGCUGAAGUUGCAUAUCUUAGGUCGAUCUCCCCCCCCACGCCCCAAUGUAGACCAGGGCUUAGAUAAAUGCAUGGUAGAGCCUGAGUACAGACGGCUGCUUCCCUUUAGGUGAGGCUUGGUUUCUCAUAAAAGUUUUCCUCCUUGUUCUGGGUGUGGGAGGAGAAUUUUCCUAUUUUGUGAGUAGGUGGGGGUUUACGUAAGAAUGGCAAUACGGGGUCAGACCAAAGGUCCAUCUAGCCCACUAUCUUGUCUUCCGACUGGCUAAUACCAGGUGCUUCAGAGGGAAUGAAUAGAACAGGUAAUCGAGAAGUGAUCCAUCCUGUGUCACCAUUCCCAGCUUCUGGCAAACAGAGGCUAGGAACACCAUCACUGCCCAUCCUGACUAAUAGCCAUUGAUGGACCUAUCCUCCAUGAAUUUACCUAGUUCUUUUUUGAACCCUAUUAUAGUCUUGGCUUUCACAGCAUUCUCUGGCCAGCAAUUCCACAGUUUGAGUGUGUGUUGUGUGCUUUUUAAUUGUAUCUGUGAAGGUGUAAUGGGACAGGGAGAAGAAGAACUGACACAACAUUGCAGAUUCCGAUGAUAACUUUUGUUUUUCCCUCUUGUGUUGUGCUUAGUGUCAAGGGUAAGAGCCAACCCCCCUUGUGAGAUGGAAAGUGUACAAGAGCCAUGAGACAGUGAGCAUUGUUGAUGCCAGGCUAUUAUGAUGCCGUCUAGUUGGAAGCAGAGCAGCCAUCACUGUCAGUAAGAUAAGUGUCUGCUUUGGUGAGGAGUCUGGUCACGGCGCACCUGGCUCCAGGCAGGGACAUGCCAUUCGCUAGAUCUGUGUUUGUAAGAAAAGGUUCCUGACUAACUGUGGCUACGGGGGAGACAAGGCCCCCAUUAUCAGGGGCUGCUCAUCUGUCUGGCCAGGAGAGGUGUGUCCACUGCACCAAAAGGUUGGAUCCAGGAGGAUGACUGUAGCUGGUGAGUUUCUUGCCUUCCUUCCAUGUUUUCCAUGUUUCUCUCUCUCUUCGCUACUGUAGUGUGUCGGCUGACACACUUUGUCUGUCUGUGUUUGUCUCUCCUUGUUUGGUCUCCCUUCAUAGAACACGGGCAGACAUGCUCAGUGUGUAUCCCCAUUGGCUAGGUCUCGGGAGCCAUGAAGAAGUAGGAGGGUACAAAAAUCAUUCGGCGGAGUGCGCUGGAGAGUGGAGCGUCGCUGUCAGCGUUGACUGAGUCUCUGUUCAUCAAGCGGGGCCGAUGUAGAUGGGAUGGGAGGGAUGAGGGCAAGGUUUUGCACACCAAUUGAGUUUUGUGGAGUGAUGGCUCCUGCUUGGCUUAAUUGUGGUGCUUGCAGAGGAAUCGUCGAGCAGCAGCUGAAGGAGACGCUGGCAGAGGUGGACCUGAGCAGCCUGGACAUUCUUGCCGUGAGCUUCCUCAUUGGGCUUGGGAAUCUGUGGGACUAAGGCUGAGGAAGAGGCAAGUCUCCUCCGCAAAGUCACUAUUUCAGAGGCCUGCUCCAGGCCAGUGCAGCAGCCCCAGACAGAGGAGGAGCAUCUGGAGGAAGUGGACCUGCACAAUCUAGACAUUUCACUUGGCAAUGGAGCUGAGGAGGUCUCUUGUGAUGUUGGAGG
Molecule: non-coding RNA, 2159 nt
Organism: Caretta caretta (loggerhead turtle)
Lineage: Eukaryota; Metazoa; Chordata; Testudines; Cheloniidae
Source: RefSeq, a predicted model, not a curated record